GUAAAUAAUAAAGGGCGUAUGGUGGAUGCCUAGGCUCUCAGAGGCGAUGAAGGACGUGAUAAGCUGCGAAAAGCUCCGUUUAGGUGCAAAUAACCUUUGAUGCGGAGAUCUCCGAAUGGGAUAACCCAAUAUGUUGAAGACAUAUUAUACCGUAAGGUAGGCAAACGCAGGGAACUGAAACAUCUAAGUACCUGCAGGAGAAGAAAACAAACGUGAUUCCCCCAGUAGCGGCGAGCGACCGGGGAUAAGCCCAAACCGUUAUUGUUUCGGCAGUAGCGGGGUAGUAGGACUGCGACAUUGAUGAAAUAAAUGAAAUGGAACACCUUGGAAAAUGUGAUCACAGAGGGUGAUAAUCCCGUACAUGCAAGUUUAUGAAUCAUAGCAGACUCCUGAGUAAGUCGGGACACGUGUAAUCCUGACCGAAUCCGCCGGGACCAUCCGGUAAGGCUAAAUACUCCCGAGAGACCGAUAGUGAACCAGUACCGUGAGGGAAAGGUGAAAAGCACUUCGAACAGAAGAGUGAAAUAGUCCCUGAACCCAUACGCCUACAAGCUGUCGGAGCCGCUUCGUGCGGUGACGGCGUGCCUUUUGCAUAAUGAGCCUACGAGUUACUCAUCACCAGCGAGGUUAAGUACUUCAGGUACGUAAGCCGAAGCGAAAGCGAGUCUGAAUAGGGCGUCAAGUUGGUGGUGGUAGACGCGAAACCUUAGUGAUCUACCCAUGGGCAGGGUGAAGGUUUGGUAACACAAACUGGAGGCCCGAACCGGUAAACGUUGAAAAGUUUUCGGAUGACCUGUGGGUAGGGGUGAAAGGCCAAUCAAACUGGGAAAUAGCUCGUACUCUCCGAAAUGCAUUUAGGUGCAGCCUCUGUUGUUUUGUUCUAGAGGUAGAGCUACUGAUUGGAUGCGAGGGCUUCACCGCCUAUCAAAUCCGGCCAAACUCCGAAUGCUAGAACAUGAAGACAGGGAGUGAGCCAGCGGGUGCUAAGGUCCGUUGACGAAAGAGGGAGAACUCAGACCAUCAGCUAAGGUCCCCAAUUGUAUGCUAAGUUGGAAUUAAAACGGGGUGGGACUGCUUAGACAGCUAGGAUGUUGGCUUGGAAGCAGCCAUUCAUUUAAAGAGUGCGUAACAGCUCACUAGUCGAGCGGUCCUGCAUGGAUAAUACGCGGGCAUAAGCAUAUAACCGAAGCUAUGGGAUUGUAGAUGAUACAAUCGGUAGGAGAGCAUUCCAUUCAGCGUAGAAGCAGUAUCGUGAGGUAUUGUGGAGCGGAUGGAAAAGCAAAUGUAGGCAUAAGUAACGAUAAUGCGGGUGAGAACCCCGCACGCCGAAAGAUCAAGGAUUCCCCGGCAAUGUCAAUCAUCCGGGGGUAAGUCGGAUCCUAAGGGUAAGCCGAGUGGCGAUCCCGAUGGCAAACAGGUUAAUAUUCCUGUACUGAUCAUAACUGCGAUGCAGCGACGCAGAGGUGACACUGCUGCGUACUGACGGAAUAGUACGUUGAAACCCGUAUUCUUUGAUACCGGUAGUGAAGCACGCCGGUAGAGAUGAAAGGUGAUAGUACCGCAAUGCUUCGGUUGCGCGGAUAAUGCAGGUAAGCUGACUGCCAAGAAAACCUGCUAAGCUUCAGGUAAUGAUCAUCCGUACUGUAAACGGACACACGUGAUCAGGUAGAAAAUACUAAGGCGCUCGAGAGAUUCAUGGUUAAGGAACUAGGCAAAAUGGUCCUGUAACUUCGGGAUAAAGGACGCUCUUGUGAAAGAGCCGCAGAUAAUAGGCCCAGGCGACUGUUUACCAAAAACACAUGGCUAUGCUAAUUCGCAAGAAGAUGUAUAUGGCCUGACACCUGCCCGGUGCCGGAAGGUUAAGAGGAGAGCUCAGAGGCAACUCGAAGGUUUGAAUUGAAGCCCCGGUAAACGGCGGCCGUAACUAUAACGGUCCUAAGGUAGCGAAAUUCCUUGUCGGGUAAGUUC
Molecule: ribosomal RNA, 1968 nt
Filed under: human gut metagenome
Description: bacterial LSU rRNA
Rfam family: Bacterial large subunit ribosomal RNA
Source: RNAcentral